Sapajus apella (tufted capuchin) is the source of this 20833-nucleotide long non-coding RNA. RefSeq lists it as uncharacterized. The transcript has 2 exons. The record is from RefSeq and is a predicted model, not a curated record. Lineage: Eukaryota; Metazoa; Chordata; Mammalia; Primates; Cebidae.
AAAGUGCUGGGAUUACAGGCUUGAGCCACUGCGCCCGGCCCGUUUUUUAUUAUUCUUAACCACUCAUGUGUUCCGUUAUAUAUUCGGGAUGGAAAAACACUCCACAAUUAAAACCAUCUUUGCAAAAAUUAUAGCUGAGAAAAUUAUGGCAGUGAAAGAUCUGACUUGACUCCAUUUUGCUUCUACCCUCCAAGCUGUACUUGUUCACUCCUGGGCAUAGGCCACACUAACUUUGGGAGGAACUUAAUUUAUAGUCUAACCUUGAAACUAAGACAAUAGCCCUUUCCCAAAACAAAUCUGUUUCUUUCCUGGGGACUAGACUGCCUUCAUAGGACUAACAAAGUAGCCACAGGAUUAGAAAUAAUGGUCUAGGAAUCACGUAGCUGGACUGCUGCAAGAUUCUAAACCUCCCCAACUUGAUUCUGGGGAUAAUAUUGUUAUUGUAAAAUCUCAAAUCAGUGCUUGAGAUAUUUUGCAGACACUGUACAGGAUAGCUCAGCUGGUACUAUGCAGACUGAUAAACUGGGUCAUCUGGAACUGACUCAGCACAAAGAGGACAACUGAGACACCCUAUGAUUUCAUCUCCAAUCCAACCAAUCAGCAUUCCUCACUUUCAGACCCCUACCCACCAAGUUUCCUUAAAAACCCCAUCCCCCAGUUUUUGAGGAGACUGAUUUGAAUAAUAAUAACACUCCUCUCUCCCAUACAGCUGGCUGUGCAUGAAUUAAACUCUUUCUCUAUUGCAAUUCCCCUGUCUUGAUAAAUCAAAUUUAUCUAGGCACUGGGCAAGGAAGACCCAUUGAAGGGUUACAACAAUAUUCUAAUACAUAAAGAGAUUUUUUUUUAAUGUGAUAUAACUAAUUAGUUUGGGGUCUAGAUCUGAGAAGGACUCACUGUUUUUGACUGUCAGCUUAUUCUGGUGGGUAUAAAGGAAAAUAAUGAGUGAUAAUUUAAAAAUAACCAACUUUCCAAUGACAAAUGACAGGUAAUUUAGAAAGACAGAGCUUUUAUGAGCUAAAAGAAUCUUAAUUUUGAAGAUGACAUUUAACUAAAAUAGUGAAGAUUUUAGGAAGUGCCAAAGAAAAAUAUUAUUGUUAAAAAAUUAUAAUAGUUUCUUUAAUUGACACAUGCAUUUGCCUCUCAGUUGAAUGCAAAAUAUAAAAUUCCUUCACUUAAGAAAACACAGCAAUUAAGUAAAAUAAACAAAUUGUCAAUUUUCUAAUUUUGUAGUCCUGGAAUUCCUUAUAUUAUAGAACCCCCCUCCCAGUUAUUUCUUUAAGUUGUGACUUUGCUAAUAAGUGCUUACACAGAAAUAAUUUUGCUUCCAUUGAAAAAUGUCAUCUUCAGGAGUCUUCUGAAUAUCUAUAUGCAGACCAAUUAACUGAUUGCAUUAUAAUACUUAUGAAAAGUCCUGCAAGAGAACAUGACUUUUGUGAAAUCCCUGACAACCCUGUGUCUGUGAUUCUCUAGUAUAAAACCAGUCAUCACAAGUGGCAUUUUUAAUUUUAUCAAUUAUUUUUACUCAUUUGCUCUUUAAAAAUGUCAAUUAAUUAAAUAAUAUAAAAUGCUUAUUGAAUGAAUGAUAUGAUCUAGGGCCUUUGCUAUGCCCUAGGUGAGAAUGACAUAUCAUAACACUUUGUCCAGCAGAGCUUAGAGCCUAAGAAAGCAUUUACAACAUUCCUGAAGAAUCAUUUGGAGGCCUUUAAAAAAAAAUUCAAAGACAUUGAAGGGACUGAUUCAGAAUGUCUUAAAUUGGGCCUGAGAAUCUAUACUUUCAAACAAGACUACUAAUUAAUUCUUGUGAUCUAGGAGAGGAAACAUUGUUCUAGUGCAGUGGUUCUCAACUGUGGCUGCACAGUCUCUGAGAGAACUUUAAGAAAAUCCUUAUGCUGAUUACAUCAGAACCUCCAGGCUUGGGGCCCAUGUAUCACAAUUUCAGAAAUAGCACUUUAAGUUAUUCCAAUAACUCAAGGUUGAGAACUACAUUUUAGUCUGAUGUCAAUUACUCCUCUUAAUCAUUUGCCAUACAACUUCAUUGUUCUCUGUUGCCAAAGUGAAGUGGGAAUGUCAGGGAAUCAAGUCACAAUGUAACUCCAAAUGUUUUCAAAAUCAUUAAUCUAAUGUCAGCUUAAUCAUUCAUUUAUUUAUACAUUUGUCUAUCCACUUAUUUAGUGAUGAAUGUCAAAGACAGAGAGCCACAGACUCUAUGGUACCUAUGGCACAGAAUAGGUCCCAAGAUUUGGCAGUUUUCAGGGAAGUUGUACUAUACGAGGCUCCUCCAGAGCAAAUGACUUAUAAUUUAUGUAUGGCACUAGAAAGCUCCUAGGAGUAUAGAAUCUUCACAGGUAGCUGAAACAGAUAUAAGAGUUUCAAUACCAGACAACUACAUUGCACAUGGUUUAUGUAGGUACUAUAUACCCAUAUAGUGCAGAAUUAUAUGUAUUAAAUAGAUAUAAAGAGAAGGAUGCAUAUAUAUGUGUACAUAUGCUAUAUUCUUCUAGGGUUCAUAGCCUUGAUUACCCACAUGAACUGCAGUGUACACUGCAGUAGUCUAAUAUUAACACUUUGAUUUCUGUUUUGGCUAUCUGUAUAGAUUUUACACUCCUGGGAACUUGCUAAUAUCACCCAUGAAUUCUAAUUUGCUCCAGAGGAGCCUAGCACAAAUAACACGACUCCCAUGGAAACUGCUAGAUCUUUGAAACUUUCUAUGCCAUAGGUACCAUGGGUCUGUGGAUCUCUGUCUUUUGAAUGCACUAUUAUAUCAAUGCACAUAUAAGUAUACACAUUUAUACAUAAAUGCUCAUAUAAACAUACACAUUUCCGUAUGUUUGUGUAAUGUUUCCAGCCUUUUAAAACUAGAAGAAAGGCAUCAGCUCUACAGAGGGUGAGUUCAGGGAUGAUUUUCAAAUCUCCUCAGCAUGAGAAAUAAUCACUACCAUUGGAAUACACAGAAGAAAAUUUAAGUAUAAUAUACAAUGGAUGCCUUAGGGAUUAGGACUACCCGUGGUUCUGAAAUGUUUAUGCCCAAAAUUGUAAUCUGAUUUCAGAUUUUCAAGUUAAUUUUUUUCUUAAAAAAUGCAAUCAGCUGCAAUCAGACUCAAUUUUAUUACUGCUUUGAGUAAUGAAAAAACUAAGCUAUACAAUUUAUGAAUAUUUCUAAUACGAAAUUCAGGUUAGGGUAGUUUAUCUGCUGUAACUAUACAGUCCAUAAUGUAUAAUGGCUCCAAUACAAUUGAAAUCUGCAUCUUGAUUGUGUGGAUGAACAAGACGUUGAGGUUUUCCCUAUCCAUGAGGUUACUCCGGACCCAUCUUAACCUGUGACUUCUAGGGUCUCCUUGGGGGUCAUCCCAAUUCAAGUGAGCAUUAAUGAGGCAAGAAUAUAUAAGAUGUGCAUGACAUGUUGUAUGGGCCAGGCAUUGGCAUGAAACACAUUUAAGGGUGGUGUCAGUUUAACUUUAUGAUAUAAAUAUAUCAUUUCAUCACUUCAGCUAAUUCCCAGAGGCAUUUACACAAAUUAUAAUGACCAAUGUGACUUGACAAUGACUCUGAGGGCUUGGUAUUGGGUGGUACAGGCAGCUCUAUCUUGGUGGUGCCAUAUAAGGUUCUGGGAAAUGUAGUCUACCUGUGUGCCCAGAACAAGAGGAAAUGAGUUUUUGUGGUCAGCCAGAAGUCUGUGCUACAUGGACCCUAGGAACACUGGCGAUAACAGGUAAUAGAUGUUUGAGUAAUGGUUAUAAUUGAGAAGGCUGAUCUAGAUUUGCAUGAAUCAGUUAUACAAAUGUAAUGUUAGUUGCAUACUAAAUAUUUUUAGUUUAUGAAUGCAUUUUCACAACUUAUGAACUAAUACCAGUAAUUGGGAAAUGAAUGAAAACUACUUAAUAAAGCAUGUUAUAUAGGAAUUAAUUUUGAAAUAACUCUUCUAAUUCACUUUUGUUAACUUAAAAACAUGAGACUAGCUUUGGGAGUGUGGGGAGAUGUAUUAAAACAUGGCUCAAGAGGGAAAACAUGUAACUAUAUGAUUAUAAUAAUAUGAAAUAAGCUAUAUACAUUUUAAAACAUUAAGUGAUAGUCCUGUGCACUAUAUGUCAGUAAACACACACACACACACACACACACACACACACACACACACACUUUUUUCUUUAGAAGUAAAAAUUAAAAAGACAAUGACCACUACAUUUAGAGAACCUUGUACCACAUCCCACAGAAGGGGCUCCUUAACUAUUUAGUUGUACAAAUUAAUCCUGUUUAUGAACUGUACUCAGUUGAUGUUCAGUCCUAAUUUCUAUCCCCAUUUCUGACAUGCUCAGUUUCCAUCUGAAGUCAGUCUGUCUGUCCUCAGCUCCCUGAACCUCCAGAAGAAACAGUUCUCUCUGACUCAAGUUUCUACCCAUUAUUUACACAGAAAUUCACCAUCCAGCUCUUCCUGGUUUUUCUCUGAGGGUAGAUUCAUCCCUGCCUCCUCAACUAAUGCUCAUAGUUUCCAGAGGGCCAACUAUGUCCCAACCAUCCCAUGACAUUUCAAUUUAGUUAAGAUUCUCCGUCCAUGCUUCACUACUAGAAUGUCCUUUAGUCCUGAGUUUUUCUCUUUUUGUCUUCUUAUAGAAAUAGCUAAAGUUUCCUCCCAGGGCCAGUUAAAAUGUUGUUCUUCUCUCAGCUGCCUUCAUUAGAAUGUCUUAUUUAAUUUUGGCUACAUUCACUAAUUCUAAAAAUAGUGCCCUUACUUAACACCCCAUUAAGUAAAUUCCCUUAGACACAUACACCCUUUAAAUGAAAACAGGUAUAUUUAAGUCGGAAAAAGUCAUUCGUUUUCCCCACACUGUCAUAUUGCUUGCAUAAACCUGGACAAACUUGCCAUCUCUCACAGUAGUUUGCAUCAGAAUCUUUGCCUCAUUCAUCCCAGGCAGACGAAUCCCCCAAUCUCACAUCUUCUGUACACCAUGUGAAAUGCUACACAAGACGAUGUGUGUGUGCAAAUGAAUGUGUCUGUAUGUAUAACAGCACAGAAAGUCAGGUACUAAUUUGACCAAAACUAGAAAUCUUGUGAUACCAACAUUUACUUUUUAUUUCAUAUAAAAAUAGUGUUACUCCACACUGGAACCUGGCAUCAGGAUUUCUUAUUUCAGUGCUUUCUUGUGGUUCACUCUGCAGCUUCUUUCCUUAAUACAACACUCACACCCAGGGAAUGCUCAAAGCUAGCGUGGCAACGGUACCUUCCCUAUAACAAUGUCACCUUCCCUCACCCACAGACUGAGCGUGGAGGGAGAAGCGACACCCCUCCUGAUCCUCUGAAACCUUUCAAAUGCUUUCCUGUAACUGGUGGUGAACUCACUGGCCUGCAAUUUUCUGGUGUUACUGGUUUCUUACAUUGCCAUUUUCUAUUCUUUGGGGAUAUGGCCUGUAUAAAGUCGGCUUUUGAAAAUGUCAACAAAAGCUUUUCUCUGUUCGGCUUCGUUUCUUCCCUGCUCUCAUUUCUUGGGAGGCACCGUGAAUGCCCUCUUGGCACCUUGUCGAUUUCCUAAGCAGCUAACCUUUCAAUAAUGAUAUUAAUGCUGCUGUGUGGUAAUCUGUGCAUUUCUCACUUCGUUUUCAACCGUUGCUUGCUGAGAUUCAUUUGUGUUGUUGUGUUCUUAAGAUUCUGGAAUUUGAGUGCAACCUGACUAGGGACCCAGAGCCAAAAUUUCUAGCUAAUAAAUGAGAAACAAUCUUAAUAAGUGGAAAUUUCUUUCUAAUUGAUUGAAUUUCCAAUAGCUAGCUAUACUUUGAAUUUGGCCUAGAAAAAGAGAUACAGAUAAUUAUAAACUUUUUAAAAGUCUCAUUUAAUAUUUUCUAUUUCAAAAUCCUCCCUAUUUGGAAGAAAGUUUUCAAAUAAUGUUAGUCUUCUCUGGCUGGGAUUACAAUGUGGAUGCCUCUGCGGUUAUGUGUUGAUGUGGGCUAUCAUCCUAAAAGACCACAGGAGAACUAAUUGGGGGCACAGGCUCUGAAGCCAGACUAAGCAUGUUCACAACCCACCUCUGCCACAUUUUACCUGUGUCCUUGGGCAGUUCACUUAAAAUAUCAAGUUUCUAAUUUCUAAGAUGGUUAUAUUCAUGCCUAUCUUAUUAUAUUUAAGUGAGAAAAUACAUUAGCAUUAUUAGCAUUAUUUUUCUUCUUUAGUCUUCUGAAUCUUUUCACUAUUUAACAUUCUUGCAUUCCCAAGUUGCUUUCCUGAAUGAAAUGUUUCUAACAACCUAUCUCUCCGUUUUGAUUGUAUUACAUAAACUUUGUUUAUAAUAUCUCAGAUGGAUAAUUUCUUCUUGCCAUAAAGAUCUGAGAAAUAAUUGGAUUGUCUGACUGUAGAUCUCUUUCUGUAGAGAAGGUCAAGGGGAUUCAAAUAACAGAUUGCUGCCUUCAUUAAGACCUCUUACCCUUCAUGGUUCAAACUGGCAUCAGGGAUUCAGUCUGAUACUCCCAUUAGACAGAUGCAGAUCUGGAAUCAAAUUUGAUUACACAUGUAGCUGAGGGUUAACACGGUUAUUUGAUUAUCCAAGAUCCUUCUCAGUGAUUCUUCUUUCUGGGACUCCUUCACAAAUCUUAAAGGAGCAAGUUAAACACCAUCCAUUUAGACAUUCAACAAUCAUUUAUUUGGAAAUAUAAUGGCACAGAAGGGAAAGUAUCACCAGAGGCACAUUUUCGAGACUGAAAAAUCCAAGUAGGAGAGGCUCCAUCUUUGCAGAGGAUGUGAAUAGCACCUAUUAGAUUAGGCAGCUUUUCUUCUCUAUACUUAAGUAGCACCCAGCAACUCAACUCAGCAAUUGUCCUUCAGACUAUAAACAGCCAGGGAGGAUGUUUUCAAAAUUAGCAUUGAGGAGGUUGUCCCUUAUCCUUCCUUCAAUAGUGGAAGAAAGGGAAGAAUUCAUCCUAUCACACCUUCUUGAUUCCCAAGAGACAAUCUUUUUUGUCAUUUCUAUCCCUGUUCUUAUUGUGUUGCUGUUAUGUCACUUGACAUUUUUCUCCCUCAGAUUCCUCAUUUACAAAAUGGAAAUAAUGAUGCCCAUGUCUACCUGGUCACAGAAAUACCCUUGUGAUUAAUAAGGGUACCAGGACAACAGUCAAUGCAGGACAUUAGAGAAAGAUUCUACAAGAGAUAUUUGUAUAUAAUUUAUAUUAAUUGCAUAAAGCAGAGUUACCAGAAAGUCUGGGAAUAAGAUUCAUUUUGUAUCUAACUGCUGCGUCAGUACUAUUUGCAGAGUAGUCUAGAUUAUCUUUCUCUAACUGAAGGUGAAAGGUUUUGUAGUUACCAAAUGAUGUGGGAAACAGCAUAGUCCAUUUCUGAAAGAUGUACUGUUUCUUCAGCCAGCAUGGAGGAAAAAGCAUGCAAGCACAGAAUGAUUAGAACUCUUUAAUCCUGGAGGGAUGGUGUUUGUAUCAAUUAUGUUUCAAGCCUUGUAUGUGAAGAACUGUAUUCUUAGUCACUAAACCCUCAUUUAAUGGCUUUAGCGACCUACAGAAAGUUAGUGAAAAGCAUGCCUGGUGCCACAGAUGAAAUAGUGUUAGGGCAUUGACGAUGUCUGCCUUCUUUUCUUUUGGGAGGGAAAUCCCCCUUCUAGAUUCUUAAAAUAGCAGUUGGCUUUCAUUAAAUCUACUCAGAGUUAAGGGUCUGGGGAUCAUGACUGACCUUUUUCUUUGGGAAUGGAGCACAUUUUAAUAAGCUUUCUCCUGCCCAUGGUCUCUGAAAGACUUAGCCUCUGGCAGGCCCUUGAAUUGCAGGGUUUUAUAAAGAAAAGGAUUGAUUACAGGCUUCAAAUUCUUUCUCUUUCUUUAAUUCCUUUUUUUUUUUUUUUCUUUUCAUACAAAGAAUGUGAAAGAUAUUCUGAGUCUUCUUCUAUUGAGAUACGGGUGGCCUUACAGGCAGACAUUUAGCAUUGAACUUUUAUUAAUCUUCUGUGAGUUUGACAAAGUUUCUUCUUUUUUGCUUCCUAAAUAUCAGUGAGGCUAAAGAGCUGUUACUUGCCCAGCUUGUUCUUCAGCACUGAAAGAGCCAGAGAGAAAAAGAGUUUUGUUGUUCUUGUUUUGUUUUUUGGCUUUCUUGGUGGAACUGCACCUAUAACCUCCAUCUGAAAAGCUUCAUUUAGUACAGGUCUUAACACAUGCUGUUCCCUCAGACACAAACAUUCGCCCUGCCUUACCUCUCCCUUCUUCUCUGUGCCCCUCCUCACGCUUCCUCCAAAAAGCUUUCCUUCUAACUCCUGUCUAUCCCAAUGCUUCCUUCAGGAAGCCCUCCUAUAUGUUCCCACAGCACAUCAUACUCUUGCUUAUUUCAGGACAGCACUUCUCACGCUGUUGAAUUUGUUCAUGAGCUUGAGUGUGUUCCCACUACACACUAAGCUUAAUCCCUACAGAAGCUGUGGAUGUUUCACCAUUUUAUUCCCAGUGCUUUGCACAGUGACUGGGCCCUAAUAAAAAUUUAGUUAAUAUUUGUCAGAUGCAUGAAUGAAUUAAUAUAAUUCAAGGAACAUAAGAUUAACAUAUAUUAAUGUUUCUUUAUGCCAGGGAUUGAACUCAAUGCUUCACAGACAUCAUCUAAUUAAAUAUUUGUAACUUUAUAUGAAGGCAUUUUUAAACACAUAAUGACAGAAAAAGGCUUAAAGAGGCUUAGAAAAUUAUCAAGGUGAUAAAGCUGGUAAGUUACAGACUAAGGUUAUUACCCAUACUGUAUAGUCAGCUAAUCCAAAAUAUAGGGAUAUAUGGUCAUUUAGCCUCACAAAACAUGAGCAGCACUGACUGAAGAGCAAUGCAAUGUAUUUAUCAGAUUGCUUUACCAAGGGGCUGUACUUUCUAGAAUUCAUAGCUGAAAUGAGAAGGGAGUUCUCACUUAAUAUUGAACAAUUUUGUGACAUUUAGUCGUAUAAAAGUCAUUCUUUUGCUCAAUUAAGACUGCUAUUCCACAAGACACUUAUCUGGCUAUUUUGUGUUAUAGGUAAUUAUCUGCAUGCUAGUCACUAAGGCUGUCCAAAAAAAAAAGUAAAACAGUGAGAAAGGGAAAGACAAUCAGUUGUUUGACUGAUCUGAUUUUCUGUUUUAUUCAGGUGAAAAGUUAGAUAAAUAAACUGAUUUUGCAGUGUAGCUAUAGCCCAAGACUAUCUGAUGAUUUUGAAAAAAGAAAUAAAAUACAAUCCCCUGAAAUUCUAGUGAUUUCCAGUCACUACUGACCAUGUAGAUUUGAACCAAUACUUGCUUUCUCUAAACCAAUUGAUUUUCCUUCUCACAGGCAACAUUUUUAUUUUCUAACCUGCAGCAUUUCUAUGCCUGACUGGAAUAUUUUUGCAUUUGAUUAAUGUUUUCAUUUGACUUUCAAUGAGGUCUCGAAACAGUUUGGCUUGUCACAGUCAAAUUAUUUAAAUGUUCCUCUGAAAAGAGUAUGUGGGAACUAAAAUCAGAUUCAUGUGAACCUGAAAAAACAGUGGCAACAUUUCCUGAACUUGUUAAAUUUUUUGUCUAAAUUAAUCAUUUCACAAUUUUGUUUCAUGUUGAUGUUCAGCUUCUUAAAUAUAGUGAUUAUUGGAUUCCUUAAUGGAAAGCUUUUCAUUUUUAGCUGACCCAGAAGUUGGUCUCUGAUAAGGAUUUUUAUUACCUUUUUAAGUAUUCCUUAUGGUUUCAACAGCACCAAUAUAUUAUGCCUUCUAUUCAUAUUAGUAAAAAUUAUUUUGAUUUCUCUAAACUAUCCUUUUCACUUCUCAGCUACUCCUUACUCCUCCUAAUUGAUCAGAAUUAUCUCAACUAUGGGUUCAAAUAUGGUCAACAUUCUCUGCCUUCAUUCCGCUUAUGCCCUGUGAAAGAAAGUAAACAUAAAAUAGUACAUACCAUAUUAUCCCACUUAUAUAUAAUUUUAGAAAUUGCAAACUAAUCAGUGGAGUUGAAAUGAAGAUUAAUGUUUUCUUAGGGCUGGGGAAUAAGAAAGGAGUUGAUUGCAAGAGGGACAAUGAAUCUUUUGGGGGUGACAGAAAUAUUUUGUGUCUUGAUUGAGAUAUUGGCUUCACAGGAGUAUAUAACUAAUAAAACUCAUCAAAUUGUAGUCUUUAAGUAAAUGUGCUUCUUCCUUCUAAUGUGGAUACAAAUAAAUUGCCUGACAUGUGUGAUAAAUACAAAAAAUGAAAUUCUUGAAAAGACAUAUGCAAAGUAAUGUGAACUGACACCUUUCCAAUCAUGAACAAAGGUAUUUGUCCUUUCUAAAACCUGAAAAAGGAGAAAUAAUCAUCUGCCAGAUAAUUUCAUCAAGGGUAUCAAAAACAAUUCCAGCUAAAGGAGAAAACUCAACCUAAAUAAACUGGAAGUAAAAAAGAUUUACUAUGAUGGACUGAUGAAUACAAAUCUGUAUCACACUGAGGUUAAGGUAGCUGUCCACAAAGUCCAAGCACCAUAAACACUGACAGGAAGGAAAAUGAGAGAGUGCCUUUGAGACUGUGCACUUACUUUCUAUUCUUGUAGGUUCUGAUCUGAUGCAGAAGAUAUUCAGUGACAGAAACUACUCCUUAACCAAAUAGGAAAGUGCAUACAUUGGAUAGCAAAAGAAAGGCCUAGAGUAUUUACAUAUCUGAUAGGGCUUGGUUGUGUUCCCACCCAAAUCUCAUCUUGAAUUGUAGCUCCCAUAAUCCCUAUGUGUCAUGGGAGGGACCCAGUGGGAGGUAAUUGAAUCAUGGGGGUGGGUCUUUCCCAUGCUAUCCCCAUGAUAGUAAGUUUCAUGAAAUCUAAUGAUUUUAUAAAGGGGAGUUCCCCUGUACAUGCUCUCUUGCCUGCCGCCAUGUAAGAUAUGACUUUGCUCCUCAUUUGCCUUCUGCUGUGAUUGUGAGGCCUCUAGCCACAUGGAACUGUGAGUCAGUUAAGCCUCUUUCCUUUAUAAAUUGCUCAAUAUUGGGCAUGUCUUUAUUACCAGCGUGAGAACAAACCAAUACAUCAUCAAACAACUGGUAGAUUGAAGACUUUAGACCUAUUCAGUACUAAAAACAGGCAGAUACAGCUUCUAAAAAGAAAAAAUAUCUACCCUAAAAUCAUUCCAUUUAUUCAGAGUAAUGUGUUACUAGAUAUGCAGCAUUGAAAUGUGGAACACGGGGGUGCAGCUAGAAUGGGUUUUCCUUUAUAAAAUAUCCACAUCUAUGGAAUCUAAUGAAACUUGAUAUUGUAACUUGGAAAUAAAUACGAAAAAUUAAUUAAUUUACAAUCAAGUUCAAGAAAGAAAAUAUAAAUAAUAUAAUUCUUGUUUAAUAAAUAUAAAAUCAGACGUCUUCCAAAUUCAAAUUGUCAGGCACUUUUACCUAGUCUCAACAAGAGGAAAUUAUACAUCAAAUAACUGGUCUGUGAAAAAUACUUCCUUUUGCACUCUGAUCUAAGGUCAACUAAGCCCCAAUUCAGAAAGUUGGAUUGGACAGUUUAAAAUUAGUUGACAGAAAGAAAUUAGUGUGAAUUUUAAAGCUUAAAAAUGAACACGAUUAAGGUAUUUGUGAUAAACUAAAUCAUCCCUUGAGGACUAUAAGUGACUCACAAAAAUAUAGUUCACAUGGAUCUUAUUUCGGCAGCAGUUCACUUUGCUAACCUUAACUGUACACCAAGGAUAUGUACUCAUUGUCAGGACAAGGAAGGCUUGGGCAUUUCAGAAAGACGUUUGUUUACUUGUAAAUGUUAUAAUUUCUAUAGACAGGCUACAUAGGAUGUACUAUCUGUAUGCAUUCUUAUUAUUUGGCAAAUACAUUUCACAGAUAGUUCUUGCUGAAAGGAAGCUAUAAUCAUAUAACUUCUACUCCUACCUUUGUUCAAAUGACUCAACAAUUGAACAAUAUAAACAACUUACGAUGUGUGCUUCUGAUUUUGUUUCACAUUCUUUAUUUUGAGUGUUUGAUUAGUGAAGUGCCAUAGAAAUCAUAUUUUUGUCAAAUGUUUGUAUAAUCAGCAAGAAUACACAGCUUUAUACAUAAGAAGUUCCUGCUCUGAAGACUGAGAUUCAUUGCUAGAAUUUGUUUCAAAAAGAGAACCAUUUGGACUUCCCAAAUUGAAGCCCUUAUCUCAAAAGUUGGGCCUGUCUUGCCCAAAAAAGCUUUCAGUAUUACUUCUUAUAAAGGAAGUUACCGUGGAUUUUGGUCAACCAUACAAAGACUAGGAAUCAAGAUGACAGUUUUAAGAAUAAUGGAAAAUGAAAGAGAAUCUGUAACCAAAGUAUAGCAGAAAGACUAUGCACUUUGAAGUCAGAGAUAUUGGGGCUUACUCCCAGCUCUGCCACUUCAAAACACUGCAAUGAUUAACAAGUUAUUUCUAAACAUCAAUUUCUUCAUUAUAAAAUAGGGACAGUAUCUGCCUCAUAGUGUUUUAAAAUAACUAGCAGUGUCUGGCACACAGUAGAUAUACAAUAAAUGUUAGGUUCUUGGUCUCUUUAUCUUAAAUGGUUCUAGAAAUAACUUGUUUUAAUGUAUGUUUAUUAAGGUACCAACUCUCAGAUCUUUGUUACAAGUAAGUUUCAAAUAAUACAUUUAAAGAACACUUAAUAAUUCCUAUCUGUCUUCUCACUCUCUACUGAACAAAUAUUAUUCCUCUUGAUGGUCACAAUAUGCUUUGUUUAACUCCACUAAUCAUCAUGAGAAAUAGCAAGAAAGAAAGGAGGAGGAAGAAGAGGAGGAAAAUGCAGAUGCAAUGGCAAUUCAAAGAAAGUAAUAGUUCAAGGUCAAUAUUAAAAAUAUACCUUACCAUGGUGAAACCCUGUCUCUACUAAAAAUACAAAAAGUAGCCAGGCGUGGUGGCUCGUGCCUAUAAUCCCAGCUACUCAGGAGGCUGCAGCAGGGGAAUCACUUGAACCCAGGAGGCGGAGGUUGCAGUGAGCCGAGAUUGCCUCAUUGCACAUUCCAGCCUGGGUGACAGAGCAAGACUCUGUAUCCAAAAAAGAAAAAUAGUCAAACCAUAGCUAAUCAUUCUCCCUCUCCUCAUCUCAUCCACAACAUCAGACUUUGCCUUAUCUCAGCCACCUGAGAUCUGGUUAGAUAUAAAGGAAAUAUUGGGCCACCAUAAAUAAUUUGUAGGUGGAAAAUUGAGAAUUGACAUGAUCCUACUUUUAAUUAUACAUUUAUUUAUUUUGGCAUAGACUUCCUGUCUUAUCUGAAAAAUAUAACAAGGAAAACAAUUCUCAUAUUUGAAUGUUUUCAUGAUAUUUUAUAUUUAUUUUUAUUUUUUGAUUCUUGAAAAAUGUACCAUCAAACCACAGAUACAGGAUCUCAUACUAACCUUCCAUACUGCCAGAGUAACAUAUCUCAGGAAUGUCUCCUCGCCUCCAGGUUUCAAAUCAGACAAGAAAUAGUUGGGAAGUCCAGGACAGUACAGGAACUUAUUUCUAGGAAUUCUUGUCCACAAUCUAUGACAUUCACGUGCUGCCUACAACAGAUAGCUAACACCAAUAUUUAACCAUCCUCGAAGCAGCCAUGCAACUUACAGUACUUUGUUGGAUGGAGAGAGCAUGCCCCCACCUCAGUAUCUGUUAACUUCAAGGGAAUGGACCAAGAUACAAGACUCUCUGGCACUGUUAUUGAGAAUAGCUUAGUACAGGAGCAUUUGCCAUAGGUCAGCAAGAAAUUAAAAUAGCACAAGCUGGAAGUAAUGAGGGUUAGAUCUGAGACAGAAGCCAUGAGAAAGCAAAGGAAUCUAAAGAUUAUAGAUCUAUGGUAGAGGUGAAAUUGACUGGAUCAGGUAACCGAUCCCAAGUAAGAGUGGGAAGAAGAAAAAAAUGGAAAGAUGUCAGUAUUUCAGCCUAGUUGGCAAGGUAAGAUGCAGUGUUACUGAAACAUACUGGUAAUGAAGGGGUGAUAGAAAAUAAAAUAGAACUUUAGCAAAAGCCACAUGUAUGGCCUAAGGACCUUUUUUGAGUUGAAAUCUUACUUUGAAUAAGAUAGUACACUAUUGAGAUGUUUAAACAAGAGAGGAACAUAAUCUGCUUUAUUUAUUCAUUUAUUCAACAAAUAUUUAUUGAAUAUGUACUAUAUGCCAACUCUUUUUGGACACUGGAGAUACUGCACUUGCCAAAACAGAACCUGCCUUUGUGGAGGUUAUAUUUUAUUAGUUUAAUUCUAGAAUAUUCUGAAUGUAUUGGGGAGAAAAGGCCAAAACUGAAAGCUGCAAGAGCAGCUGGAAAUAUAUGGUGACAUUCCAAGUGGCAGAUGAAAGUGAGUUGGAAUAGAAUGGAAACAGUGGAAAUGGAGAGAAAGCAAUGGAUUUGGUGGGUUUUGUUUGCUUGUUCAUUUAGGUAGAGUAUACUAAGUACAUAUAGGAGAUGAGAGUCAGAGAAGAAAUUGGCAGACACAGAUGAGAUUUUUGAGAUGUUAUUGGGAAGUAGCUUUUGGCCAUUUUAAAUUUGAGGUACCUAUUAGACAUUUAAGAAGAGACCUUCAGAAAUCAGUUUGAAAUACAAAUCUAAGCUCAGAAAGAGACAAAAACUUAAAUUAUAUACUUAAGAAUCUUGGCAAAUAGAUGUCCUUGAAAGCUAUGAAGUGAAUGAGAUCAUCUCUGGAGAGAGCAAAGAGAAGAGGACCUAAGCCAGAGAAGUGGGAGCUAUCAGAGAAGACUGAGAAGGCCUGAGAAAGAGAACAAAGGAAAGCCAGCAGCAAACGGUGCUAUAGGAUUUGAGAGGGGAGCAUGUUUCAAUUAGUCAGAAGUUAUCUACUAUGUUGAAUAUACAUGAUAAUUUAAAUAAGAUGAGCAAAACAUACAGAUGGUCCUUGAUUUGGGAUGGUAUAGCUUAUUAUUUUUUGACUUUACAGUAAGUUUAUCAGGGUAUUGAACGUGCUUUCCACUUAGGAUAUUUUCCACUUAUAAUAAGUCUGUCAUAAGUGGAUAACUGGAUUGUAACUGGAGGGAGGCAUGGGUCGGGGGGGAUUUUAAGGAUGGGAGCUACUAGAGCAGGUGUCCAUGAUGAGGGAAUAAUCUGGUACAAAGGAAAAGUAGAUGUUGCAAAAUAGAAGGAUCUAAUUGUGUGAGCAAAAUCCUAGCACUUGGCUCAGGGCCUGGCAGAGAUAGGAGCUCAGCAUGAGUCUGCUGAAUUACAAUAAAUUACUUAAACCCAGCAGGUAAUGGAACUGGGAUUUAACUCCUCAUCUAUGACUCCUGGUUUAGUUCUCAAGUCACUAGACCAUGCUGUCCAUAGCCCUUAGUCCAGUCUACUUCUCAUCUAUAAAGUCAUUUCUCCCGGGUUCCAUCAGUAGCCCUUCUGCUUUAGAUGCAGAAACCCCUGAUUCAAUUUCGUGCAGGAAUGGAUUUCUCACAAAUAAGGAUAAUCCUCCAUUUCAUGUCUACUCACUUGGUUGACUUCCUGUUUUCCACACUCUUCCCACAAGAGGCUUUGCAGUUUCUAUUUUCUGAGACAUUCAAAUAAAUGUGAGUUGGUAUUGUGACCAAAUACCUCCUGAAAUGCAUAUUUUUCCCCUUUAUCAUUUUUGAAACAAAUGAAUGAAUUGCAAAGGAGCUACAUUAAUGAGAUGUUUAAUUUGAGGUUUUAAUUUUGCAAAUGUUGGGAAGCAUAAUUAAGGUUCAGGCAGUACCAUAAGUGUCUUCAGGAAUAUAAAAUAACUGAUUUUGCAUCUAGAGUUUUUGGGAACAUUUUCUGCCUAAACACAAACCACUUAUAGCUGUUUUCCUGUGUUCUAAAUUCACCUCAGGCACUGUGAAGACACAGAACAUGUAGUCCUCAUAGAGAUGGCAAAUAAUCAGCACGGCUGUCAUCAUGACAAUUAGCAGAAAGCAAUGUGCUGAGAGGAGUGAAGGCAUAGGUGAAAAGCAGUGGGCACUGGUUUAUAUUUAUUUUAUUCUCAUAAUUGCAAGGCAGCUUUCUUCAAUUUUAUUCUAUAUGCUAUCUCAGGUAAUUAAAUCAGUAGAGAAGGACAGGAAUAUUGAGUUAGAUAGCGAUAUAGAUAGAAUAGAAAAGACUUCUGGAUAAAAAGAUGAGCACAGAAAGGAUUUGAAAACUUAAUAAACGAAAUUAUCCUCAAGAAUUUUAUCUGUAUAAGCAUACCAUAUAGUUAAAAGGAAAGAAAGAAAAACUUGCAUGGGCCUGGAACAUCUAUCAAAAAAAGUUAGCUUACUUUAUGGGGUAGAGAAAGGGCUACUUGUAUUCAAGCACCUGAGAUGGCUGUUUCUUUAGCAGACCACCAAUGAACUAGAAGUGGAAAUUAACUUUCCAGGCAAUUUCUAUUUCUUAUGCUAUGUCUAAACAUACAACCAGUUUGAAAAAAAUAAUAAGGUGAGUCAAGCAACAAAUGUUUAAAAAAUUGCUAUUUCUACUUCUUUUUGAAUAGUAUACAGCAGCAUUUUUGGCACCACAGAGUGGUUUUGUGGAAGACAACUUUUCCACAGAAGGUGGGGAAGGUGGGGAGGGGGGCUGAUGGGGAGCAAGGCCUGGUGUGGAACGGUUUCUGGAUGAAACCGUUCCACCUCAGAUCAUCGAUCAUGAGACUUUUGUUCAUAAGGACUAUGCAACCUAAAUGCCUUGCAUGAAUAGUUCACUGUAGGGUUUGUGCUCCUACGAGAAUCUAACGACACUGCUAAUCUGACAGGAGGUGGAGCUCAGGCAGUAAUGAUGACCCGCUUGCCACUCACUUGCUGUGCAGCCCAGUUCCUGCGGUGCAGCCCAGUCCCCAGGCCACAGGUUGGGGACCCCUGUCAUACAGCCAUGAGAUAAAAAUAGUAGAACUAUAUUGAUUUGUUGGACUUGUAUUAGGUAGGACCAUAUCAAACUGGCUUUGGUCAAAUAUUGCCUUUGGUCGAAUAUUGGUCAACAUGAUUGCAAAUCAACAAUAUUACUCGGUUCAAGGCAAUUCUAUCUUUAAGCUAAUAGGAAAAAACCUCCUCUUAUGAUCAAAAUCAAUCAAUAUACAUUUAUUUCAUAUGCAGGCUGCACCAGAUGUUUCAAUUCAGUGAUAACAAAGCUUUUGGGUGUGACAGUCUCUUUUAGUAUUUCAAAUUAGGAAGACCUCAAGUAAUGCUGUUGAGCUUUUUUUAGAGUUAGUCUCUUUUAGACUAUGCUUAACCAUGCUUCCCUAAAGUGAAUGACUCCUAUAAAUAUUUUUUUAUAUUUUAUUUACUAUAUGAAGGAAAUAAUUUAUACAGUGGUCCAUUUUCAAGACAAGGUGCCUUGAAUUGGCUUAGAUCAGCAAACUACAGAAGAGACAGUAUAUACUAGGCUCCUGCUUGGAUAGUGGACAUCUGCUGGUUGAACCCCACCCUUUUCCCCCUCUUAGUUGCCCUCACCUGAACCAAAGAAGUUUAGUCUGUUCUUAUCAGCCUGCCCAGCUACUUAGGUCAUAAGUCAAAUACUUGAAGAGCCCCUGAGCUAACUAGGAUUGCAAUGCAUUGUGGGCUGCAAAAAAAAAAAAUAAUAAUAAUAAUGCAUCAGAACAACCCUAAAGAAAAUAUCUAAAGCCCCUAUGCAAUAACCAAUAGGUGACAUCCGGCAAGACUGUGACCCCAUAGUACUCAGCCUAUGAGGAACCAGGAGAGGACCUGCGUACUAGGGCAUAAAUUGCUUAUUUUAACUAUUCUGGGGGUGCCUGCCUAUUAGACACCCGAUCUUGCAAGCCCAUCAUUAGAAGCCUCACUUUCACUGUUCUCCAGGUCUCUGAGUCCAUUCUUUGGAUUUGGAUGGUUGAGUUUGUUCCUCACAACCUGGUGGAACUCUAUGCCUUUGUGGAGUGGGACUCCAGCCAAGAGGGGAGAUGUGUCUCACCUGAUUUAGGUGGCCUGCCUUGUCUGGGUGUCCCAGCUCCUCACAGAAGCCAUAGACAAACUAGAGACUGUUAUUCAGGAGACAAUGAAAGUGACACAGGGAGAAAAGCAGGUACCACAGCAACCGGGCAACCUCGUGCACAAGCCAGGGCAGAACAAUUGGACUGUAAGUCCUGCCUUGGUGAUUGGGCAAGUUCGGUGUGUGACUGAGACGUAUCCUAGGUAUGAAGCAAGUGUGGAGUCCCAAUCUGUGGUUCCAUUCUCCUGUGAGGGAAAUGGCCGGAGAUGGAUGAAUCAAUUUUCAGGGUGUGCAAGAAAUCUUCAGUGGUGGGGCUGAGUACACAGGGAAAAGCUUAGACACAGAGACUAACCGAAAGUGUGAAAUAAGAAUUCUAGGCCUAGGGAACAGAGGAAAGAGGGAACUAAAGACACUCCAUCUGAAAUUCUCCCAGAAUUUCACUGGAGAGAAUGCUGCAGGUUUGGAGGGAUACCCUCAAACCAGGGACAAGGAAAAGCAAAAGACGAUAAAGUAUUGUUGUUUUAUCUGGCCCAAAGAGCCCAUUCAUCAGCCUUCAGUCUCUUGGCCUAAGUUUGGCUCAGAUGAGGACUAGGUGUGCCAAUCUUUAAUUCCUUAUGUGAAUAAUAAAACCUCAUCCUCACGAGAAAAGAUAGUGAAUGCUCCCCCAUAAAGAGGGAGAAAAAGAGCAUAGUAAAGAGCCCUCACCCAGUGAAAAACCCUGGGAUCCCCUAACAUGCUUGCCCAAUCCCAUACAUCUCACAAAGUAGAGGAUAGGGAGAUCAGGAGGCAACAGGAAGGCCAGAGGAAGAGGAAUCUGGGGUUCAUGAAGGAGCUAAACCCAAUGCUCCUUUAAAUCCUUAUCCAAGCUUGAGGAAAGAAUUAGAAUAAUGUAAGAGAGACAUUGAGAAUGUCUCUAUUCCUUCUAAACAGCAGAUGUCUAACAUGUACCCUCUUAGAGAAGUCCCUAUGAGACAGAGAGAGGUUGGUUUUGUUAAUGCGCCUCUAAAAAGUACUAAGGUUAGGAAAUUUAUAAAGGAAAUGAGACCACUCUUAGAAGAUCCCCUCGAUUUAGCAGAGCAGCUAGAUCAAUUGUUAGGACCCAGUUUUUAUACUUGGUCUGAGAUAAUGUCAAUCAUGAAUAUUCUGUUUACUGGGGAAGGGAAGGGAAUGGAUUAGAAGGGCAGCCAUGACCAUUUGGGAGAGACAACACCCUUCCAGGCUAGGAGUAAUGACAGCUGAGUAGAAAUCCCCAAAUGCAGAUCCUGAAUGGGAUAAUAAUCACCCCAGAGACUGAGUCCAAAUGCAAGAACUUAGGGACCUAAUAAUUAAAGAGUCCACUCCUAGGACACAGAAUGUCUUGAAAGAAUUUGAGAUCCAACAUGAAAAAUAGGAGUCUCCCUCUGCAUUUCUACAGAGACUUAGGGAUCAAAUGAGAAAAUAUUUAGGAUUAGAUCCUGAGGACUCAUUAGGGUAAGGCCCCUUAAAGGUUAAUUUUGUGACUAAAAGCUGGCCUGAUAUUACUAAGAUACUGCAAAAGAUUGAAGAAUGGAAAUAGAAACCGAUUGAGGAAUUACUGAGGGAAGCUCAGAAGGUUUUUGUAAGAAGAGAGAGAAAGAGUUAAGCUGCUGACCCUCAAGGUAGGGGAGAGCUAGCCACGCAGCUGGGGGUGGGAGUUGGCCGCUGAAAGUUGUUGAUGAAAGCUGCUGCUGAAUCUUUGUCAUUUCAGCAGUGCUGUCCAUCUUUGCAGAUGGACAGAGCGGAGCCAGGGCACACCACAGCUCGGCUCACACACAGAGAGAGAAAGAGGAAGAUACUGAGCUUAAGGGAGAAAAGAAACAAGGGAUGACAGAGAGACAGAAGAAGAAAACGAGUUAGAGAGAGACUGAAAUAGACAGAAAUCAAGGAGAGACACAGAAGGUGAGACCAAGGAGAGAGAUAAUGUAAGAGGAAGAGUACCAGAGGAAGAAAGAGAAAGAGAGAAUGGCCAUAAAAGACGGGAGACAAGGAGACUAAAGUACAAGUAAGCAGUAGCUGCCAUGGCCAAGCUGGUAGAGGAGAGUAGAAAGCUGACCUUCAGUGGGCUCUGGUAGUGAGCACCCUACAUUAGGUCAGGAAUAUAUUAAAUCAAAGAGCUGGAAGAUGGUUGACUGGUUCCCGAAUUUUAAAAUAUAAAGCCAUAUUACUAGAAAAAGAUAAUUUGGUCUUAACAACAUAUACUUAUUUGAAUCCAGCCAGUUUCUUAUGAAAAGGAGAGAAGAAUGAGGAGGCAUUAGAUCAUAACUGUUUAGAUAUCAUAGAACAUCAAACUAAAGUUAGAGCAGAACUUAAAGAAACUCCACUACCUGAUGAGAUGAGGCUGUUUGUGGAUGUGUCACCCUGAGUGAUAGAUGGUAAAAGACACAAUGGCUAUGCUGUCACUGAUGGAAACAAUCCUUAGGUGAAAAAGGCAGAUUACCCAAUAACUGGUCAGCCCAAACCUCUGAAUUUUGCAGACCCUAAAGCUCCUAGAAAGCCAAGAAGGCACUAUAUAUACUGAUUCCAAAUAUGCCUGUGGAGUAGUAGACACUUUGGAAAUAUCUGGACAGAGUGAGGCCUAAAAAAUAGCAGGGAGAAAGAAUUGAUAUAUGGGGAACUAAUCAAACAGAUUUUAAAACCUCCUGCUUCUGCAGAGGUAGUCAUAGUUCCUGUAAAUGGCCAUCAGAAAGGAAACACUAUAGAAGCUGUAGGAAACAGGCUUGCAGGUAAAGCUGCUAAGCAAGCCUUCCUGGAGGAAGAAGUGAAACUGUUUAGCCUAAUCCCAGAUAUCCCUAGGAUGGUAUUAAGACCCCAAUUUUCUAAAGAGGAGAAAGAGCUGAGCAAGAUACGGGCCACGCAAACUAAGGAUGGGAGGUGGGUGCUCCUUGAAGGAAGAGAAAUAAGCAAACCCAUAAUGAGAGAACUGACGUCCAUAUGGCAUAAAGAAAGAUAUUUGUGUCUCCAGGCCAUGUGUAAUGCGAUACUCAAGAUUUAUGGGCAAGAGGGAUUUACACCCUUGCUAAAUAAGUGUGUGGGGGUUGUAUGACCUGCCAGAGAAUUAAAAAAAAAAAAAAA